This is a non-coding RNA of Dermacentor albipictus, 2872 nucleotides long. Lineage: Eukaryota; Metazoa; Arthropoda; Arachnida; Ixodida; Ixodidae. The record is from RefSeq and is a predicted model, not a curated record.
UGCCAGCGUUGUGUGCGUGUGUGUGUGUGUAUGCGCAUGUCAGUGCCUUUCCUUCUACUGAGCCAGUGGGGGUUAGAAAAUUCGUUGAACACUUCCAUGUAUCGAGCGGCAGCCGCCAGCGUGGAGAGUGUUUUCUCUCUCCUUUUCUUGAGCGAGGGUAUUCCAAACACUAUAAAGGACGUCUUCGCUAAUGGACUUCAGCCUUCAGUUUUUGAGCAAACUAGCAUGUCUGUCGCUCACCAUCGGGAAACUUGCAGAGUUGACCACUCCGUAACAAUGUGAAGUAAACAUUCAUUGCUACUCGUUGAAUUGUUGCCGUAUCUCCUGCCUGGCCCCCUCGGCACUCAUGAGCCGCUGCAAAAUGCAGUCAGCGGCACGAUCCGACAACCAAUGGUAAGCUCCAGACCACCAAGCCCACGCUACUUCCACAGUCUUGGGUUCCCAUCUUUAAUACGGAGCAGCAGCAAAAAAAGAAUUGACAUCUGUGAAUAAGGUAUGCGGAUGUGGGCUGCUUCCCUUGAACAUAGGAGGCAAAUGCCUUCAGGAAGUUCAGUUGCACUUUGUUAUAUGAAAAGGCGUCUCACCAAGAUUGGAAGUUGCAAACCGACAAGUGCAGUGCAUAGAUCACACACUAACAAUCCUGUCUCCAAAUUAUCAAAAUGAUGCACAGUGGGAAAACAACUGAAAUUUUAAACAAAAGCCAUCAUGGUCUCAACGAAGCCCUGCUUCAGCCAGAGUCAAGGUUACAUGCACAAAUGUCUCUAUGUAAAACGUGCUGCCUGCAAUAUCACCAACCAUGGCACGUGACUUUCGUAAGCCAACCAAUGUUAAAUGCCAUCCCUGGAUGUGUGCCCCACAGCAAAAAAGGAAGAGAAGAAAAAAAGGAAAGAAAAGACGGCUCGUCAUGCGAGUGUGACGUGAACCCUUGGCUCCGUCAUGGGGGAAGAUGAAGAAGGAAGAUCACUUGGAGGCAAAGGGGUUGAGUGCCGUCACUUUUAGCACUCGCCUCCUGGCAGCGUGAAAAUGCAACAUUUCAAUUUCUUCCAUUUCCUUUAAUAAUGAACUAAUUAGAAAUAUUUGUUUGAGGAAAUGCUCCCUUGACGGCAUCUUACAACUUCCAAUGUACCUAUAACUAAAAUUUGCCAUGGUGCUUAAUGAGAGGGGCUUUUCAGCCCAAAUUAGAUCCUGCAGACUAUAGUACUGUAUGGAAAAUAUGGUACAUGGAACUGUAAAAUUUAAUUUUCCACAGCAAUUUCUACCUGUGCAGUUGGAGUUGGCUUUGUCAUAGCAUAGAUAUGAGGACCGUGAAACAACCUUUAUUCCCUAAAGAUCCUGUCCUGUAGUAUAUUUGAGCAUUUACAUAAAGGCAUGGAGACCCUCAGUGUGUUGCAAUCUAAGUGGCAGCAUAUAGGUGGUGUGUGCUGCCUGUAGAGAUGCCACUGUAAGCCAUCUAUGUAUUGGCGGAUUUCUGAAUUGUGGAUGGGAGAAGGCUCAUGGCUGUUCUGCCUUUGCACCAAGCACUGCAGAGCACAGUGCUACAAUUUUCUGUUUGUGCAGUUCGAAGAAAAUUAUUCCUGCAGUGGCAGUGACUACACAGAAAAUGCACCCUACGAGAGUGGACAGAGUUCCAAUGUGACUGUGGUUUGAAAUGGUCCAGCCCCUGUGUAUACAAGCACCGAUUUUCCCAGACAAGUGUGACAGUGCCUGGCUUUGAAUGCAGUGUGCUGCUUCAUAAAUAUUGCAGUUGCCCAGCACUAAGCUGCCUGGAUUAUGUGGUUGCCAUAAUGACUUCUCUGUACCCGUGGGACAAAUAUUUGCACUCGAAAUAGCGACAGCAGCCAUGCAUUUCCUGCUGACAUAGAAUUAGGUUCCACAAUGUCAUCUGAUGUAUGCACAUGCUGUGAUGUGGUUGGUGUGGCCAUGCUCUUUUUUCCUCCCUUCAAGUAUGCUGGUAAACUGCCACUAGUUACAGAUGUCUGCAAGGAGUGCACACUGUGUGAGUGCUGCACAUGAAUUGAAAUUACGAUCACCACAGUGAUGAUAAAGGACACAUUGAAAGGUAAUCUGACAACACUUAUCAAGACUGUCUACAAGUUUUCUGUGAGAGAUUUCCUCAGGGUUGACAAAAACCAUCUUAGGGACCAUUUAAUGGGGUGUUACCGCCCACAUUAUGAGAUGGAAGAAAAGGAAGCCAUUAGGAUUUCUCUGGUGGUGCAAGGUGCUCAAAUAGAUGGCUUUGAAUUGCAGUAGACAUAAAUAUUAUCAUUCUUUCUGUCUGGGCACAUAACUUCUUUGCCAACCUCUCUGUCAUCUCUGUAGCACAUUAAUUUAGGAUAGUAACUCCACUCUGACGCAGGAGAUGAAAGUGCAUGCCAGACAUGCUGACCACACUGACUUGGAGAGUGCCACUUUCUUAAAUGUGGCAAAAGUCUGUGUUUUGGGCGAAAUAAGAGCUCAUAGGCAAUUUUUAUCUGUGAUAAACAGAAAUAUGUGCUGCCAGUGGUCAGACGUCAUUGAGGUCGAGCUUCUCAAGCAAGUAGAUGCCAUCGAGAAGACCAAAGAAGCCAGUGAUUAGCCAUUGUGCGCAGCAGCUUCAGAUGGCAAAGUCCAGCUGGGGUUUCUCUGCACAAGGUCACCAAGUGGCAUUCCUAAGUCACAAAGCUGCACCCAGGUAGAGGCAGAUUCCAAAAAUGCUUGUGUACUUAAGUAUAGCUGCACAUUACAGAAUCCGAGGCCCUCAACAAUCAUCCGUAGCCCUCUUGUAGCCCACGAGUUCCUUAUAUUUUAUUGGGAUUGAAGAGCAACGUUUGUGCUAUAUCCCUCUAUUUCAGACGAAAUAAUGUGCAUGCAAAAUUAUAUCUUCAUUACUUUA